This 468-nucleotide ribosomal RNA is filed under the name uncultured bacterium. RNAcentral describes it as "partial 16S ribosomal RNA". It matches the Rfam family "Bacterial small subunit ribosomal RNA", at positions 28 to 507 of the family's 1533-position model. The record is from RNAcentral.
GAUGAACGCUGGCGGCGUGCUUAACACAUGCAAGUCGAACGGAAAGGCCCUGCUUUUGUUGGGUGCUUGAUUGGCGAACGGGUGAGUAACACGCGAGUAACCCGCCCUUGACUUUGGGGUAAAUUUACGAAACUGGGGCUAAUACCGGAUAGGAUCUUCUGCUGCAUGGUGGGCGUUGGAAAGUUACGGCGGUGCGGGAUGGACUCGCGGCUUAUCCGCUUGUUGGUGGGGUAGUUGCUUACCAAGGCUUUGACGGGUAGCCGGCAUGAGAGGGUGACCGGCCACAUGGGGACUGCGAUACGGCCCAGACUCCUACGGUAGGCAGCAGUGGGGAAUAUUGCAGAAUGGGCGGAAGCCUGAUGCAGCAACGCCGCGUGCGGGAUGACGGCUUUCGGGUUGUAAACCGCUUUCGCCUGUGACGAGGCGUGAGUGACGGUAAUGAGUAAAGAAGCACCGGCUAACUACGUG